RNAcentral lists this ribosomal RNA (253 nucleotides) under uncultured bacterium. Its description in RNAcentral is "partial 16S ribosomal RNA". It matches the Rfam family "Bacterial small subunit ribosomal RNA", at positions 524 to 776 of the family's 1533-position model. The record is from RNAcentral.
UACGGAGGGGGCUAGCGUUGUUCGGAAUUACUGGGCGUAAAGCGCACGUAGGCGGCUUUGUAAGUUAGAGGUGAAAGCCCGGGGCUCAACUCCGGAAUUGCCUUUAAGACUGCAUCGCUAGAAUUGUGGAGAGGUAAGUGGAAUUCCGAGUGUAGAGGUGAAAUUCGUAGAUAUUCGGAAGAACACCAGUGGCGAAGGCGACUUACUGGACAACUGUUGACGCUGAGGUGCGAAAGCGUGGGGAGCAAACAGG